RNAcentral lists this long non-coding RNA (261 nucleotides) under Homo sapiens (human). RNAcentral's name for it is "non-protein coding lnc-SNAPC3-4:1". The record is from RNAcentral. Lineage: Eukaryota; Metazoa; Chordata; Mammalia; Primates; Hominidae.
AUGCCCAAGAGAAAGCCUGAAGGGGAUGCUACAGGAGAUAAAGCCAAGCUACAGAGAAGAUCUGCAAGGUUGUCUGCUAAACCUGCUCCUUCAAAGCCAGAGCGCAAGCCCAAAAAGCCUUCUUUGCCCCUGCAAAGAAGGGAGAAAAGGUACCCAAAGGGAAAAGCUGAUGCUUACAAGGAGGGGAAGAAUCCUGCAGGAAAUGGAGAUGCCAAAACAGACCAGGCACAGGAAGCUCAGCGUGCUGGAGACGCCAAGUGA